AGGGCGCACGGUGGAUGCCUUGGCACUAGAAGCCGAAGAAGGACGUUACUAACGACGAUAUGCUUUGGGUAGCUGUAAGUAAGCGUUGAUCCAGAGAUUUCCGAAUGGGGGAACCCAACAUGAGUUAUGUCAUGUUAUCGACAUGUGAAUUCAUAGCAUGUCAGAAGGCAGACCCGGAGAACUGAAACAUCUUAGUACCCGGAGGAAGAGAAAGAAAAAUCGAUUCCCUGAGUAGCGGCGAGCGAAACGGGAAGAGCCCAAACCAACAAGCUUGCUUGUUGGGGUUGUAGGACACUCUAUACGGAGUUACAAAAGAACAUGUUAGACGAAUCAUCUGGAAAGAUGAAUCAAAGAAGGUAAUAAUCCUGUAGUCGAAAACAUAUUCUCUCUUGAGUGGAUCCUGAGUACGACGGAGCACGUGAAAUUCCGUCGGAAUCUAGGAGGACCAUCUCCUAAGGCUAAAUACUCUCUAGUGACCGAUAGUGAACCAGUACCGUGAGGGAAAGGUGAAAAGUACCCCGGAAGGGGAGUGAAAGAGAACUUGAAACCGUGUGCUUACAAGUAGUCAGAGCCCGUUUAUGGGUGAUGGCGUGCCUUUUGUAGAAUGAACCGGCGAGUUACGAUCUGAUGCAAGGUUAAGCAGCGAAUGUGGAGCCGUAGCGAAAGCGAGUCUGAAUAGGGCGUUGAGUAUUUGGUCGUAGACCCGAAACCAGGUGAUCUACCCUUGGUCAGGUUGAAGUUCAGGUAACACUGAAUGGAGGACCGAACCGACUUACGUUGAAAAGUGAGCGGAUGAACUGAGGGUAGCGGAGAAAUUCCAAUCGAACUUGGAGAUAGCUGGUUCUCUCCGAAAUAGCUUUAGGGCUAGCCUCAAGUGAUGAUUAUUGGAGGUAGAGCACUGUUUGGACGAGGGGCCCCUCUCGGGUUACCGAAUUCAGACAAACUCCGAAUGCCAAUCAAUUUAACUUGGGAGUCAGAACAUGGGUGAUAAGGUCCGUGUUCGAAAGGGAAACAGCCCAGACCACCAGCUAAGGUCCCAAAAUAUAUGUUAAGUGGAAAAGGAUGUGGCGUUGCCCAGACAACUAGGAUGUUGGCUUAGAAGCAGCCAUCAUUUAAAGAGUGCGUAAUAGCUCACUAGUCGAGUGACACUGCGCCGAAAAUGUACCGGGGCUAAACAUAUUACCGAAGCUGUGGAUUGUCCUUCGGACAAUGGUAGGAGAGCGUUCUAAGGGCGUUGAAGCAUGAUCGCAAGGACAUGUGGAGCGCUUAGAAGUGAGAAUGCCGGUGUGAGUAGCGAAAGACGGGUGAGAAUCCCGUCCACCGAUUGACUAAGGUUUACAGAGGAAGGCUCGUCCGCUCUGGGUUAGUCGGGUCCUAAGCUGAGGCCGACAGGCGUAGGCGAUGGAUAACAGGUUGAUAUUCCUGUACCACCUAGUAUCGUUUUAAUCGAUGGGGGGACGCAGUAGGAUAGGCGAAGCGUGCUGUUGGAGUGCACGUCCAAGCAGUAAGGCUGAGUGUUAGGCAAAUCCGGCACUCGUUAGGCUGAGCUGUGAUGGGGAGAGGAAAUUGUUUCCUCGAGUCGUUGAUUUCACACUGCCGAGAAAAGCCUCUAGAUAGAUAACAGGUGCCCGUACCGCAAACCGACACAGGUAGUCAAGAUGAGAAUUCUAAGGUGAGCGAGCGAACUCUCGUUAAGGAACUCGGCAAAAUGACCCCGUAACUUCGGGAGAAGGGGUGCUCUUUAGGGUUCACGCCCAGAAGAGCCGCAGUGAAUAGGCCCAAGCGACUGUUUAUCAAAAACACAGGUCUCUGCUAAACCGUAAGGUGAUGUAUAGGGGCUGACGCCUGCCCGGUGCUGGAAGGUUAAGAGGAGUGGUUAGCUUCUGCGAAGCCACGAAUCGAAGCCCCAGUAAACGGCGGCCGUAACUAUAACGGUCCUAAGGUAGCGAAAUUCCUUGUCGGGUAAGUUCCGACCCGCACGAAAGGCGUAACGAUUUGGGCACUGUCUCAACGAGAGACUCGGUGAAAUCAUAGUACCUGUGAAGAUGCAGGUUACCCGCGACAGGACGGAAAGACCCCGUGGAGCUUUACUGUAGCCUGAUAUUGAAAUUCGGCACAGCUUGUACAGGAUAGGUAGGAGCCAUUGAAACGUGAGCGCUAGCUUACGUGGAGGCGUUGGUGGGAUACUACCCUAGCUGUGUUGGCUUUCUAACCCGCACCACUUAUCGUGGUGGGAGACAGUGUCAGGCGGGCAGUUUGACUGGGGCGGUCGCCUCCUAAAAGGUAACGGAGGCGCUCAAAGGUUCCCUCAGAAUGGUUGGAAAUCAUUCACAGAGUGUAAAGGCAUAAGGGAGCUUGACUGCGAGACCUACAAGUCGAGCAGGGUCGAAAGACGGACUUAGUGAUCCGGUGGUUCCGCAUGGAAGGGCCAUCGCUCAACGGAUAAAAGCUACCCCGGGGAUAACAGGCUUAUCUCCCCCAAGAGUUCACAUCGACGGGGAGGUUUGGCACCUCGAUGUCGGCUCAUCGCAUCCUGGGGCUGUAGUCGGUCCCAAGGGUUGGGCUGUUCGCCCAUUAAAGCGGUACGCGAGCUGGGUUCAGAACGUCGUGAGACAGUUCGGUCCCUAUCCGUCGUGGGCGUAGGAAAUUUGAGAGGAGCUGUCCUUAGUACGAGAGGACCGGGAUGGACAUACCUCUGGUGUACCAGUUGUCGUGCCAACGGCAUAGCUGGGUAGCUAUGUAUGGACGGGAUAAGUGCUGAAAGCAUCUAAGCAUGAAGCCCCCCUCAAGAUGAGAUUUCCCAACUUCGGUUAUAAGAUCCCUCGAAGAUGACGAGGUUAAUAGGUUCGAGGUGGAAGCGUGGUGACACGUGGAGCUGACGAAUACUAAUCGAUCGAAGACUUAAUC
This 2907-nucleotide ribosomal RNA is filed under the name Staphylococcus capitis CR01. RNAcentral describes it as "bacterial LSU rRNA". It matches the Rfam family "Bacterial large subunit ribosomal RNA". The record is from RNAcentral. Lineage: Bacteria; Bacillati; Bacillota; Bacilli; Caryophanales; Staphylococcaceae.